CUUCAUAUCUUCUGCUGAUUCAGAAUACAUACUUGGACAUUGAUUUUAUUUCUGAACUUCUUCUUGCUUCUUACUCGUCAAGAUAAAGUGUUUGGAUAUGUAUUCCCUAUUUUU
RNAcentral lists this long non-coding RNA (114 nucleotides) under Papio anubis (olive baboon). Its description in RNAcentral is "lncRNA (ENSPANG00000049211.1)". The record is from RNAcentral. Lineage: Eukaryota; Metazoa; Chordata; Mammalia; Primates; Cercopithecidae.